CCUCUGGUAGCUCAGUUGGUGGUGGUGGUGGACUGUAGAUCCAUAGGUCGCUGGUUCAAAUCCGGCCCAGAGGA
Molecule: non-coding RNA, 74 nt
Organism: Schistocerca serialis cubense
Lineage: Eukaryota; Metazoa; Arthropoda; Insecta; Orthoptera; Acrididae
Source: the annotation of a RefSeq genome assembly